RNAcentral lists this ribosomal RNA (255 nucleotides) under uncultured bacterium. Its description in RNAcentral is "partial 16S ribosomal RNA". It matches the Rfam family "Bacterial small subunit ribosomal RNA", at positions 524 to 776 of the family's 1533-position model. The record is from RNAcentral.
GACAGAGGGUGCAAACGUUUGUUCGGAAUUACUGGGCGUAAAGGGCGCGUAGGCGGCCUUCUAAGUCGAACGUGAAAUCCCCGGGCUCAACCCGGGAACUGCGUCCGAUACUGGAAGGCUUGAAUCCGGGAGAGGGAUGCGGAAUUCCAGGUGUAGCGGUGAAAUGCGUAGAUAUCUGGAGGAACACCGGUGGCGAAGGCGGCAUCCUGGACCGGCAUUGACGCUGAGGCGCGAAAGCUAGGGGGAGCAAACGGG